UACAGGGGGUGCAAACGUUGCUCGGAAUUAUUGGGCGUAAAGCGCGCGUAGGCGGCUACUUAAAUCGGAUGUGAAAGCCCCUGGCUCAACUGGGGAAGUGCACCCUAAACUGAGUAGCUUGAGUGCAAAAGAGGGCCGCGGAAUUCCCGGUGUAGAGGUGAAAUUCGUAGAUAUCUGGAGGAACACCGGUGGCGAAGGCGGCAUCCUGGACCGGUAUUGACGCUGAGGCGCGAAAGCUAGGGGAGCAAACGGG
This 253-nucleotide ribosomal RNA is filed under the name uncultured bacterium. RNAcentral describes it as "partial 16S ribosomal RNA". It matches the Rfam family "Bacterial small subunit ribosomal RNA", at positions 524 to 776 of the family's 1533-position model. The record is from RNAcentral.